CCGAAAUGCAGCGGGGGCAGACGGCCGCGAGGUCGCCGGCCGCCGCGUACACGCAUUCCACCACCCUUGACUUUGAGCACCGUUAUGUUUCCUCGGCAGGGACGCCUGCCAGCGGGGACCCAUCGAACACUUGCAGUAGCAGUAUUUGUCUGAAAUAUACACAAAAAUCA
RNAcentral lists this unclassified non-coding RNA (170 nucleotides) under uncultured Ascomycota. RNAcentral's name for it is "sequence contains ITS1". Lineage: Eukaryota; Fungi; Ascomycota. The record is from RNAcentral.